RNAcentral lists this ribosomal RNA (523 nucleotides) under uncultured bacterium. RNAcentral describes it as "partial 16S ribosomal RNA". It matches the Rfam family "Bacterial small subunit ribosomal RNA", at positions 28 to 523 of the family's 1533-position model. The record is from RNAcentral.
GAUAAACGCUGGCGGCGUGCCUAAUACAUGCAAGUCGAACGCUUUUUCUUUCACCGGAGCUUGCUCCACCGAAAGAAAAAGAGUGGCGAACGGGUGAGUAACACGUGGGUAACCUGCACAUCAGAAGGGGAUAACACUUGGAAACAGGUGCUAAUACCGUAUAACACUAUUUUCCGCAUGGAAGAAAGUUGAAAGGCGCUUUUGCGUCACUGAUGGAUGGACCCGCGGUGCAUUAGCUAGUUGGUGAGGUAACGGCUCACCAAGGCAACGAUGCAUAGCCGACCUGAGAGGGUGAUCGGCCACACUGGGACUGAGACACGGCCCAGACUCCUACGGGAGGCAGCAGUAGGGAAUCUUCGGCAAUGGACGAAAGUCUGACCGAGCAACGCCGCGUGAGUGAAGAAGGUUUUCGGAUCGUAAAACUCUGUUGUUAGAGAAGAACAAGGAUGAGAGUAGAACGUUCAUCCCUUGACGGUAUCUAACCAGAAAGCCACGGCUAACUACGUGCCAGCAGCCGCGGUAA